Molecule: ribosomal RNA, 253 nt
Filed under: uncultured bacterium
Lineage: Bacteria
Description: partial 16S ribosomal RNA
Rfam family: Bacterial small subunit ribosomal RNA
Source: RNAcentral
UACAGAGGGGGCAAGCGUUGUUCGGAAUUACUGGGCGUAAAGGGCGCGUAGGCGGCCUGCUAAGUCGAACGUGAAAUCCCCGGGCUCAACCCGGGAACUGCGUCCGAUACUGGCAGGCUUGAAUCCGGGAGAGGGAUGCGGAAUUCCAGGUGUAGCGGUGAAAUGCGCAGAUAUCAGGAGGAACACCGAUGGCGAAGGCAGUUCUCUGGGCCGUAACUGACGCUGAGGAGCGAAAGCGUGGGGAGCGAACAGG